RNAcentral lists this transfer RNA (72 nucleotides) under Capra hircus (goat). It matches the Rfam family "tRNA". From Rfam's summary of the family: Transfer RNA (tRNA) molecules are approximately 80 nucleotides in length. Their secondary structure includes four short double-helical elements and three loops (D, anti-codon, and T loops). Further hydrogen bonds mediate the characteristic L-shaped molecular structure. tRNAs have two regions of fundamental functional importance: the anti-codon, which is responsible for specific mRNA codon recognition, and the 3' end, to which the tRNAs corresponding amino acid is attached (by aminoacyl-tRNA synthetases). tRNAs cope with the degeneracy of the genetic code in two manners: having more than one tRNA (with a specific anti-codon) for a particular amino acid; and 'wobble' base-pairing, i.e. permitting non-standard base-pairing at the 3rd anti-codon position. RNAcentral also lists the same sequence under 1 other name. Lineage: Eukaryota; Metazoa; Chordata; Mammalia; Artiodactyla; Bovidae. The record is from Rfam by way of RNAcentral.
UCCCUUGUCGCUUAGGUGGUAAAGAAUCUGCCUGUAAUGCAGGAGACCUGGGUUCAAUCCCCAGGUUGGGAA